Molecule: transfer RNA, 74 nt
Filed under: Myotis lucifugus (little brown bat)
Lineage: Eukaryota; Metazoa; Chordata; Mammalia; Chiroptera; Vespertilionidae
Rfam family: tRNA
About the family: Transfer RNA (tRNA) molecules are approximately 80 nucleotides in length. Their secondary structure includes four short double-helical elements and three loops (D, anti-codon, and T loops).
Source: Rfam by way of RNAcentral
GCCCAUGUAGCUCAGUGGUUAGAGUGCCAGCCUAUGCACCUAAGGGUUGCAGGUUUGAUUCCCUGUCAAGGGCA